This 301-nucleotide ribosomal RNA is filed under the name uncultured bacterium. Its description in RNAcentral is "partial 16S ribosomal RNA". It matches the Rfam family "Bacterial small subunit ribosomal RNA", at positions 509 to 807 of the family's 1533-position model. The record is from RNAcentral.
CAGUCGCCGCGGUAAAACGAAGGGGGCUAGCGUUGUUCGGAAUUACUGGGCGUAAAGCGCACGUAGGCGGACAUUUAAGUCAGGGGUGAAAUCCCGGGGCUCAACCCCGGAACUGCCUUUGAUACUGGGUGUCUAGAGUAUGGAAGAGGUGAGUGGAAUUCCGAGUGUAGAGGUGAAAUUCGUAGAUAUUCGGAGGAACACCAGUGGCGAAGGCGGCUCACUGGUCCAUUACUGACGCUGAGGUGCGAAAGCGUGGGGAGCAAACAGGAUUAGAUACCCGAGUAGUCCCUGUCUCUUAUAC